AUUGAACGCUGGCGGCAGGCCUAACACAUGCAAGUCGAGCGGAUGAAGGGAGCUUGCUCCUGGAUUCAGCGGUGGACGGGUGAGUAAUGCCUAGGAAUCUGCCUGGUAGUGGGGGAUAACGUCCGGAAACGGGCGCUAAUACCGCAUACGUCCUGAGGGAGAAAGUGGGGGAUCUUCGGACCUCACGCUAUCAGAUGAGCCUAGGUCGGAUUAGCUAGUUGGUGGGGUAAAGGCCUACCAAGGCGACGAUCCGUAACUGGUCUGAGAGGAUGAUCAGUCACACUGGAACUGAGACACGGUCCAGACUCCUACGGGAGGCAGCAGUGGGGAAUAUUGGACAAUGGGCGAAAGCCUGAUCCAGCCACGCCGCGUGUGUGAAGAAGGUCUUCGGAUUGUAAAGCACUUUAAGUUGGGAGGAAGGGCAGUAAGUUAAUACCUUGCUGUUUUGACGUUACCAACAGAAUAAGCACCGGCUAACUUCGUG
Molecule: ribosomal RNA, 484 nt
Filed under: uncultured bacterium
Lineage: Bacteria
Description: partial 16S ribosomal RNA
Rfam family: Bacterial small subunit ribosomal RNA
Source: RNAcentral